CCUACGGGCGGCAGCAGUGGGGAAUAUUGCACAAUGGGCGCAAGCCUGAUGCAGCGACGCCGCGUGCGGGAUGGAGGCCUUCGGGUUGUAAACCGCUUUUGUUCAAGGGCAAGGCACGGUCUUUGGCCGCGUUGAGUGGAUUGUUCGAAUAAGCACCGGCUAACUACGUGCCAGCAGCCGCGGUAAUACGUAGGGUGCAAGCGUUAUCCGGAUUUAUUGGGCGUAAAGGGCGCGUAGGCGGUCCGUCUGGUGCGGUGGGAAAGUGCAUGGCUUAACGGUGGAACCGCGCCGGGUAUGGGCGGGCUUGAGUGCGGUAGGGGAAGCUGGAAUUCCCGGUGUAGCGGUGGAAUGUGUAGAUAUCGGGAAGAACACCGAUGGCGAAGGCAGGUCUCUGGGCCGUUACUGACGCUGAGGAGCGAAAGCGUGGGGAGCGAACAGGAUUAGAUACCCUUGUAGUC
Molecule: ribosomal RNA, 458 nt
Filed under: uncultured bacterium
Lineage: Bacteria
Description: partial 16S ribosomal RNA
Rfam family: Bacterial small subunit ribosomal RNA
Source: RNAcentral